GAACUCCGUGCCUAGUGCCAGCCCUUUUAUGAAUAAUUUCACCUGCCAUUAGCCUGAUUUCACAUUUAUCUACUAAAUCUGUGUAGCUUCCUGCUGUGACGAUUUGGUGGCCAGAGGAGUAGAGAAACUGGCAACAAAAAAGCAUAGCAGUGGUGGGAUAUAAAAAGCUAGCUUUUGAAAAUGCAUGUUUACCAAGCACAGUACUAAAGCCAUAAUGUCUACUGGUUUUUAUGUAUAUUCCAGAGGCAAUGCAUAUUUCAAGAACACAGUGCUGUGGGCAUUCAGCUUGGAGAGUUCUCCGGUUUCCAGACCAAAAGCUGCAGUCUAUUAAGCCUAUAGAAGCAGAAAUUUGCCUUGCCAGGUGCAAACUUGUUGUCUGCAGAGACCGAGAGCCAAGAGUCUUCGACGCUGCUUCUGGGUAUGACACGUGACUUCAGGCAAGGGGGGGUUGGUAUUUUCUGGGAUUUUUGUUGUUGUUAUUUUCUC
Molecule: long non-coding RNA, 486 nt
Filed under: Phasianus colchicus (ring-necked pheasant)
Lineage: Eukaryota; Metazoa; Chordata; Aves; Galliformes; Phasianidae
Description: lncRNA (ENSPCLG00000021058.1)
Source: RNAcentral